RNAcentral lists this long non-coding RNA (205 nucleotides) under Mytilus galloprovincialis (Mediterranean mussel). Lineage: Eukaryota; Metazoa; Mollusca; Bivalvia; Mytilida; Mytilidae. The record is from RNAcentral.
CUAAAAAGUAAGGUUUCUGUGAAAGUUUACAAGGAACUGCUGUCUCUCACUGAAUCCUAAACAUGAGAUUUCUAACAAGACUGGACAGAAGAAUACCUGUUAUUAUUAUGUCCACUGUAAUGCAACACACUGGGGACAAUGACAUUAUAAGAAAUUUACAAAUAGAUAAGCUGAUAAUGAAACUAAACAAUUUAAAUGGCAAGCU